Molecule: ribosomal RNA, 207 nt
Filed under: uncultured bacterium
Lineage: Bacteria
Description: partial 16S ribosomal RNA
Rfam family: Bacterial small subunit ribosomal RNA
Source: RNAcentral
CAUGUAGGCGGUUUCGUAAGCCUGGUGUGAAAUCCUGCAGCUUAACUGUAGAAUUGCAUUGGGUACUGCGAGACUUGAAUCACGGAGGGGAAACUAGAAUCCCAGGUGUAGGGGUGGAAUCUGUAGAUAUCUGGAAGAAUACCGGUGGCGAAGGCGGGUUUCUAGCCGAUGAUUGACGCUGAGGUGCGAAAGUGCGGGGAGCAAACA